This 193-nucleotide unclassified non-coding RNA is filed under the name uncultured fungus. Its description in RNAcentral is "sequence contains ITS1". The record is from RNAcentral. Lineage: Eukaryota; Fungi.
CAGCAGCAUUCUCGGGGGGUUCCAGAGCUGGCCCGCAAAGGCAAGUGCUCGCCCUCCGGUUUCCACGCUCACACACCUGUGCACAUUCGGCGAGAGGGGGGGUUUGUCUCCCGACGUCCCCUCUCCCGCCUUCCACAAACGCCAGUCUUGUAAACGCAUGUCGCUUUUGAGCUCCAAGGAGCCUCUAAAGAAA